RNAcentral lists this ribosomal RNA (407 nucleotides) under uncultured marine eukaryote. Its description in RNAcentral is "SSU rRNA". It matches the Rfam family "Eukaryotic small subunit ribosomal RNA", at positions 619 to 1036 of the family's 1831-position model. The record is from RNAcentral.
UUAAAAAGCUCGUAGUUGGAUUUCGGUUAAGAGCGACCGGUCCGCCGUUUGGUGUGCACUGGUUGGUUUUAACUUCCUGUAGAGACGUGCUCUGGGCUUAACGGUCUGGACUCGGAGUCUACGUGGUUACUUUGAAAAAAUUAGAGUGUUCAAAGCGGGCUUGCGCUUGAAUAUUUCAGCAUGGAAUAACACCAUAGGACUCCUGCCCUAUUUCGUUGGUCUCGGGACGGGAGUAAUGAUUAAGAGGAACAGUUGGGGGCAUUCGUAUUUCAUUGUCAGAGGUGAAAUUCUUGGAUUUAUGAAAGACGAACUUCUGCGAAAGCAUUUGCCAAGGAUGUUUUCAUUAAUCAAGAACGAAAGUUGGGGGCUCGAAGAUGAUUAGAUACCAUCCUAGUCUCAACCAUAAA